AUUGAACGCUGGCGGCAGGCCUAACACAUGCAAGUCGAGCGGAUGAAGGGAGCUUGCUCCUGGAUUCAGCGGCGGACGGGUGAGUAAUGCCUAGGAAUCUGCCUGGUAGUGGGGGAUAACGUCCGGAAACGGGCGCUAAUACCGCAUACGUCCUGAGGGAGAAAGUGGGGGAUCUUCGGACCUCACGCUAUCAGAUGAGCCUAGGUCGGAUUAGCUAGUUGGUGGGGUAAAGGCCUACCAAGGCGACGAUCCGUAACUGGUCUGAGAGGAUGAUCAGUCAAACGGGAACUGAGAAAGGUCCAGACUCCUACGGGAGGCAGCAGUGGGGAAUAUUGGACAAUGGGCGAAAGCCUGAUCCAGCCAUGCCGCGUGUGUGAAGAAGGUCUUCGGAUUGUAAAGCACUUUAAGUUGGGAGGAAGGGCAGUAAGUUAAUACCUUGCUGUUUUGACGUUACCAACAGAAUAAGCACCGGCUAACUUCGUG
RNAcentral lists this ribosomal RNA (483 nucleotides) under uncultured bacterium. RNAcentral's name for it is "partial 16S ribosomal RNA". It matches the Rfam family "Bacterial small subunit ribosomal RNA", at positions 30 to 507 of the family's 1533-position model. The record is from RNAcentral.